UAAACCAGCUUCCAUAAUGAGCCAGUUUCAGGGGAGGAUGAACCAGAGUGGCGUCAUGUUUAAGUGGUCAGUGAUGUUGGACAAGGCCACCAUCCUCUUUUCACAACUGCUUCCAGGAAGAGCUGAAAAAAAAUUGUUGUGUUAAUUGUGAAGCUCAAAGGAUUCUAAUGAAGUUUAACGUUGCAUCUGUUAUGCAAAUCCCAGCAGCUUUAUACCCUGAAGUCCUAUAUUCUAUUAAUAAAUGUGCAACAA
Long non-coding RNA from Thunnus maccoyii (southern bluefin tuna), 252 nucleotides. RefSeq lists it as uncharacterized. The transcript has 2 exons. Lineage: Eukaryota; Metazoa; Chordata; Actinopteri; Scombriformes; Scombridae. The record is from RefSeq and is a predicted model, not a curated record.